CUUGACCUCAAAUCAGUAGGACUACCCGCUGAACUUAAGCAUAUC
This 45-nucleotide ribosomal RNA is filed under the name Boletales sp. EMF14. RNAcentral describes it as "partial 28S ribosomal RNA". Lineage: Eukaryota; Fungi; Basidiomycota; Agaricomycetes; Boletales. The record is from RNAcentral.